Molecule: non-coding RNA, 631 nt
Organism: Lepisosteus oculatus (spotted gar)
Lineage: Eukaryota; Metazoa; Chordata; Actinopteri; Semionotiformes; Lepisosteidae
Source: the annotation of a RefSeq genome assembly
UCCUCCUUCUAAAUAUAAAAGCGCAAGCACACAAAUUGUUAUUCAUGCAUAUCUCGCUCCGCUGGAGCACGUUUUAAAACUUUUUGCUGCGCUACAAAUCAUGGAAUAUAAGUUCCUGUUAACUUUUGCUGUGGUGUUAGUAGGUACUUUAAUAGAAUGCGGAGCAGAAGACACGGUAACUCAGUCUCCGGAGAGUGUCAACAUUGCCGAAGGAGGAGAGGCAACACUGAACUGUACUUACAGCACCAGUAGCACUUCACCCAGCCUGUUCUGGUACAUACAGUACCGCAAUGACUUUCCAAGGAUAAUCCUACAAAGAGAUGUUUCAGGUUAUAAGGACAACGCCGAAGGGUUCAAAAACAGAUUUGACGCCGAGCUCAAUCCGAAAUCAAACGCUGUACCUUUAACGAUAGGGGAGACGGCACUGACGGACUCCGCCGUGUAUUACUGUGCGCUGAGGCCCCCAGCGACAAAGAGAUACACACGACGCUAACAAAAACACACAGCUACAGUAACAGUGUACAGAAAGGGGCAGCGCUGUCGAAAAGAUAUUUUAACACGUUAAAUUAUGGAUACAAGUACUAUAAAACAGUUCCAUUCUAAAAUAAAAAAGGAAUAAAUUAUGAAAAAA